This 439-nucleotide long non-coding RNA is filed under the name Setaria viridis. RNAcentral's name for it is "long non-coding RNA (SVIR_LNC003380)". Lineage: Eukaryota; Viridiplantae; Streptophyta; Magnoliopsida; Poales; Poaceae. The record is from RNAcentral.
UUGGAUGUUGGUAUUGAGGUGAAGGAAUUGCAUUGGGGUAGGAAUACCAAAUCUGAGUGGAAAUGGAAAUGGCGUGCAAUGCCAAUGUUGUUGUUUGGAUGUGUAUGUAAUUGGUAGUUAGAAUCAAAGGGUAGCAGCCAAUUCCAAUUCUUGUUUGGAUGUACAAACUGCUGAAUUUUAUGUUUUGAAGAGUCUAGACAGUACAUAACAUUGUACAUGUAUGAGAAUGUAGUCUCCAUAAAUUGUGGAUAUAUUGGAAGUAUUAUAUAUCACUUUCACCAUAUAAAAAUAGGAAAAUUUUAUUAAAAAUGAUCAAAAUAGCUGGAGAUGUAUUAAAAAGUGACAAAAAAAAUGAAAGCACAUGAACAUAGCAGCCAUUAUAUAGCAAAUAAUAUGAGAUCAGUAGCUUCUAAGUACCCAUAGAAGAUUACAACAUACU